CAAAAGUAACAUUUUACCUUCGAUGUCCUUACUAGCUGCGUUGGACCACCAUAGCAAGGGGAGUCAAGCUUUACUCUGUCUUGACUGGCUUCUGGAAAAUCACCUCCAUAUGAGAGAAGAAGGUGAAGAAUUGUAUGUCUGGAUCUGCAGAUUACAGGGUGGCUACAGAUCCCCUGGCCUAUUUGCACAUCAGCACUACUGAAGCUACACUGACACAGCAUAGAGGCUGGAGAACUGCUAGUCAACACAAGUUGGCUCUACCAGAAGUGAACAAAACAUUUCAGGCUGAACAUAAACAGUGACUUUUCAGUGAGAAUUUUUUUGUUAACAUCUCAGCAAUUCUGAAUAUGUUCCAGGAUAGGCGCACACAUGCAUAUACUUACUGGAUAAAUAUGAUGAAUAAUCUGUUUUGAUUUGGCUUGCAGAAAAUACUUUAAACAGCUAAUCCAAUUCCAUGUAAAUACUGAACUUUAAACCACAAUAUCUGUUUCUAUCCCUGAAUCCCCCAAACUGUAGAGGGAACUCAAGAACCUCCAUAUUUCCAACCACUGGAAAGGUUUCCCAUCACUUUCCCUUCAUGUACUUCUUCUUGGAGACUUUCACUUAAAACCUCUUCCCUUUUAAUAUCCAUUUACUAUAUGAAGCUUGCAGAUAGCCUUCUUUCUUAGAUCAGCAUUGGUCUACUUUGAUCAGCACUGCCCUUCUACCUGUCCAAUGUGGUGCACAUUUGCGCUUUGUUAUGGGUUCACAGAAUCACAGAAUCGCUGAGGUUGGAAGGGACCUCUGGAGAUCAUCUAGUCCAACCCCGCCAUUGCCCUGGUAGAUUUGCAGAGAAGUUAACAGACUGUUAUUUGGGACUUGGAAGCUUUGGACAACCCCUGUUUCAUAGACGUGUAUGUGAGGAAAGGAAGGUAGACAAAACCAAAUUACCUGAGAAGGGGUUAAUCACUCCAUUUUCUAACUUUAAAGAACCUUCUUCUAGCACAGAGAUGGGUUAGAAGGUGAAGGAAGAUAUCUGUUUGUAGCAGUACAUGCAGGAAAUCUGAAUGUGGUCUUCAAAGUCCAGGCUUAUAGGAAGAUUGCUCUGUAAAUCAGAGACACCUUCAGCAUGUCAGGAAGAGCUACUGUGAAAUUUUAAAAGAAGCCUGAGAGCAACUUUCACCACUGUAGCCUGUGUGGAAAUGGCAGAGAACAGCAGUGGG
Molecule: long non-coding RNA, 1202 nt
Filed under: Apteryx owenii (little spotted kiwi)
Lineage: Eukaryota; Metazoa; Chordata; Aves; Apterygiformes; Apterygidae
Description: lncRNA (ENSAOWG00000003728.1)
Source: RNAcentral